CUAAAAAAAGGACAAAAAAACCGAUUCUCAUAAGGUCUAACAACCUGUUCACCAGUACAAAUUCGUUUGAGUACUACGUUUUAUGAUAUGAUUCAACAUAGGAUGUAGAUUCUGUACCACGUAAUUGCAUAUCGACAAUGUCUUAUCUUGGAAGUCUCUCUCACUUUGUGAAUUAGCUGAUGCAAUAAAAGGACUAGGGCUUCCAUCUGGAUGAGCCAUCUGGAUGGAGAUGAGAGCUUUGUUCGUUUAGACACUUUCGGAAAUUUAGGCUUAAUUUUAAAGUCCAUUCAGCUGAACCAGUUUGGACCAUUUAGAAGGAGAUGGUUCAUUCAAUAUGGUAUAAUGUCUAUUAUGUCCUUCAUGUAAUUCACAAAUUAUAAACCUAAACAUAAAAUCAUUUUGUCACACACGAAAACUGACAAAACCACAAAAAUGCAUUUUUCCGCAAAAACUUAAAAACGAAAUUUUCACGCCAAAACCCUAAAAUCGCAUUUUCAGACAAAAUUGCAAAAACGUGUUUUCCCGCCAAAAUUGCAAAACGUGUUUUCCCGCAAAAACGUGUUUUCAUGCCAAAAUCACAAAAACGCGUUUUCACGCCAAAAUCCCAAAACACAUUUUUCCGCCAAAACACAAAAACAUGUUUUCCCGCCAAAACCACAAAACGUGUUUUCCCACCAAAAUCGAAAAUGCGUUGUUUUCUCAUCAAAAUGCAUUUCCAGCUAAAACUGCAAAACGCGUU
This 739-nucleotide long non-coding RNA is filed under the name Brassica napus (rape). RNAcentral describes it as "long non-coding RNA (BNAP_LNC025967)". The record is from RNAcentral. Lineage: Eukaryota; Viridiplantae; Streptophyta; Magnoliopsida; Brassicales; Brassicaceae.